Molecule: long non-coding RNA, 1815 nt
Organism: Bos grunniens (domestic yak)
Lineage: Eukaryota; Metazoa; Chordata; Mammalia; Artiodactyla; Bovidae
Source: Ensembl
AUGGAGCACCUCAGACCCACCCCAGCCCCUCCUCCAUGGAGCACCUCAGACCCACCCCAGCCCCUCCUCCAUGGAGCACCUCAGACCCACCCCGGCCCCUCCUCAAGGGAGCACCUCAGACCCACCCCAGCCCCUCCUCCAUGGAGCACCUCAGACCCACCCCAGCCCCUCCUCCAUGGAGCACCUCAGACCCACCCCAGCCCCUCCUCCAUGGAGCACCUCAGACCCACCCCAGCCCCACCUCCAUGGAGCACAGUCAGGCCCACCCCAGCUCCUCCUCCAUGGAGCACCUCAGACCCACCCCAGCCCCUCCUCCAUGGAGCACAGUCAGACCCACCCCAGCUCCUCCUCCACGGAGCACAGUCAGGCCACCCGCCUCCUCCUCCACGGAGCACCUCAGCCCCACCCCAGCUCCUCCUCCAUGGAGCACCUCAGACCCACCCCAGCUCCUCCUCCAUGGAGCACCUCAGACCCACCCCAGCCCCACCUCCAUGGAGCACAGUCAGGCCCACCCCAGCUCCUCCUCCAUGGAGCACCUCAGACCCACCCCAGCUCCUCCUCCACGGAGCACAGUCAGGCCCACCCCGCCUCCUCCUCCAUGGAGCACCUCAGCCCCACCCCAGCUCCUCCUCCAUGGAGCACCUCAGACCCACCCCAGCUCCUCCUCCAUGGAGCACCUCAGACCCACCCCAGCUCCUCCUCCAUGGAGCACAGUCAGACCCACCCCAGCUCCUCCUCCAUGGAGCACAAUCAGGCCCACCCCACCUCCUCCUCCAUGGAGCACAGUCAGACCCACCCCACCUCCUCCUCCAUGGAGCAGUCAGCUCCACCCCAGCGCCUCCUCCAUGGAGCACAGUCAGGCCCACCCCACCUCCUUCUCCAUGGAGCACAGUCAGGCCCAAUCCUCCUCCUCCAUGGAGCACCUCAGACCCACCCCAGCUCCUCCUCCAUGGAGCACAGUCAGGCCCACCCCGCCUCCUCCUCCAAGGAGCACAGUCAGGCCCACCCCACCUCCUUCUCCAUGGAGCACAGUCAGACCCACCCCAGCUCCUCCUCCAUGGAGCACAGUCAGACCCACCCCACCUCCUCCUCCAUGGAGCACCUCAGCCCCACCCCAGCUCCUCCUCCAUGGAGCAGUCAGCUCCACCCCAGCUCCUCCUCCAUGGAGCACAGUCAGGCCCACCCACCUCCUUCUCCAUGGAGCACAGUCAGGCCCACCCAGCUCCUCCUCCAUGGAGCACAGUCAGGCCCACCCCUCCUCCUCCAUGGAGCACCUCAGCCCCACCCCAGCUCCUCCUCCAUGGAGCAGUCAGCUCCACCCCAGCUCCUCUUCCAUGGAGCACAGUCAGGCCCACCCCACCUCCUUCUCCAUGGAGCACAGUCAGGCCCACCCCACCUCCUUCUCCAUGGAGCACAGUCAGGCCCAAUCCUCCUCCUCCAUGGAGCACCUCAGACCCACCCCAGCUCCUCCUCCAUGGAGCACAGUCAGGCCCACCCCGCCUCCUCCUCCAAGGAGCACAGUCAGGCCCACCCCACCUCCUCCUCCAAGGAGCACAGUCAGACCCACCCCAGCUCCUCCUCCAGGGAGCACAGUCAGGCCCAAUCCUCCUCCUCCAUGGAGCACAGUCAGACCCAGCCCGCUCCUCCAUGGAGCACAGUCAGAACCACAGUCAGACUUCCCUGCCUCCCCGUCCUGGAGCACAGUCAGAAGUCGUGAAGCUCUGUGUCCGCCCAGGCUUGUGUGCAGUCUGGCCCUGGAGCUGGCCAGCACAGCUGGGAGGUAUCUUGCAGCCUGUGGCUCUGAAUUGGCCAUAA